AAACACUGAUAGGAUCUAUUCAAUCCUAUCCGCCUGAAGAUUACGGACACUAGUCUAAAAGCCAAAGGACUUGGCGGUGCUUUUCACCCCCCUAGAGGAGCCUGUUAUGUAACCGACAACCCCCGUUAAACCUCACCCUCCCUUGCUUUAUCUAUCUAUAUACCACCGCCGUCAGCUUACCCUGAGAAGGAACAAUGGCAUGCAGAAUUGGCACAGCCCAAAACGUCAGGUCGAGGUGUAGUGAAUGGGAGGGGAAGAAAUGGGCUACAUUUGCUGAAACAGCAAAUACGAAUGUUUUAUUGAAACAUAAAACUGAAGGAGGAUUUAGUAGUAAGUGAGAAAUAGAGUGUCUC
RNAcentral lists this ribosomal RNA (353 nucleotides) under Engyprosopon grandisquama (largescale flounder). RNAcentral's name for it is "partial 12S ribosomal RNA". It matches the Rfam family "Bacterial small subunit ribosomal RNA", at positions 801 to 1360 of the family's 1533-position model. The record is from RNAcentral. Lineage: Eukaryota; Metazoa; Chordata; Actinopteri; Pleuronectiformes; Bothidae.